This 376-nucleotide ribosomal RNA is filed under the name uncultured bacterium. RNAcentral's name for it is "bacterial SSU rRNA". It matches the Rfam family "Bacterial small subunit ribosomal RNA", at positions 27 to 404 of the family's 1533-position model. The record is from RNAcentral.
GAUUGAACGCUGGCGGCAUGCCUUACACAUGCAAGUCGAACGGCAGCACGGGGGCAACCCUGGUGGCGAGUGGCGAACGGGUGAGUAAUACAUCGGAACGUGCCCGGUAGUGGGGGAUAGCUCGGCGAAAGCCGGAUUAAUACCGCAUACGACCCACGGGUGAAAGCGGGGGAUCGCGAAGACCUCGCGCUAGCGGAGCGGCCGAUGUCAGAUUAGGUUGUUGGUGGGGUAAAGGCCACCAAGCCGACGAUCUGUAGCUGGUCCUGAGAGGACGACCAGCCACACUGGGACUGAGACACGGCCCAGACUCCUACGGGAGGCAGCAGUGGGGAAUUUUGGACAAUGGGCGCAACCCUGAUCCAGCCAUGCCGCGUGC